GCAGUCGAACGGCAGCAUGAUCUAGCUUGCUAGAUUGAUGGCGAGUGGCGAACGGGUGAGUAAUACAUCGGAACGUGCCCUGUAGUGGGGGAUAACUAGUCGAAAGAUUAGCUAAUACCGCAUACGACCUGAGGGUGAAAGUGGGGGACCGCAAGGCCUCAUGCUAUAGGAGCGGCCGAUGUCUGAUUAGCUAGUUGGUGAGGUAAAGGCUCACCAAGGCGACGAUCAGUAGCUGGUCUGAGAGGACGAUCAGCCACACUGGGACUGAGACACGGCCCAGACUCCUACGGGAGGCAGCAGUGGGGAAUUUUGGACAAUGGGCGAAAGCCUGAUCCAGCAAUGCCGCGUGUGUGAAGAAGGCCUUCGGGUUGUAAAGCACUUUUGUCCGGAAAGAAAUGGCUCUGGUUAAUACCUGGGGUCGAUGACGGUACCGGAAGAAUAAGGACCGGCUAACUACGUGCCAGCAGCCGCGGUAAUACGUAGGGUCCAAGCGUUAAUCGGAAUUACUGGGCGUAAAGCGUGCGCAGGCGGUUGUGCAAGACCGAUGUGAAAUCCCCGAGCUUAACUUGGGAAUUGCAUUGGUGACUGCACGGCUAGAGUGUGUCAGAGGGGGGUAGAAUUCCACGUGUAGCAGUGAAAUGCGUAGAGAUGUGGAGGAAUACCGAUGGCGAAGGCAGCCCCCUGGGAUAACACUGACGCUCAUGCACGAAAGCGUGGGGAGCAAACAGGAUUAGAUACCCUGGUAGUCCACGCCCUANACGAUGUCAACUAGUUGUUGGGGAUUCAUUUCCUUAGUAACGUAGCUAACGCGUGAAGUUGACCGCCUGGGGAGUACGGUCGCAAGAUUAAAACUCAAAGGAAUUGACGGGGACCCGCACAAGCGGUGGAUGAUGUGGAUUAAUUCGAUGCAACGCGAAAAACCUUACCUACCCCUGACAUGCCACUAACGAAGCAGAGAUGCAUUAGGUGCU
RNAcentral lists this ribosomal RNA (971 nucleotides) under uncultured beta proteobacterium. RNAcentral describes it as "bacterial SSU rRNA". It matches the Rfam family "Bacterial small subunit ribosomal RNA", at positions 57 to 1019 of the family's 1533-position model. The record is from RNAcentral. Lineage: Bacteria; Pseudomonadati; Pseudomonadota; Betaproteobacteria.